Molecule: ribosomal RNA, 253 nt
Filed under: uncultured bacterium
Lineage: Bacteria
Description: partial 16S ribosomal RNA
Rfam family: Bacterial small subunit ribosomal RNA
Source: RNAcentral
UACGUAGGGGGCAAGCGUUGUCCGGAAUUAUUGGGCGUAAAGAGCGUGUAGGCGGCCCGGCAAGUCCGCCGUGAAAGUCCAGGGCUCAACCCUGGAAUGCCGGUGGAAACUGUCGGGCUUGAGUUCGGAAGAGGAGAGUGGAAUUCCUGGUGUAGCGGUGAAAUGCGUAGAUAUUGGGAGGAACACCGGUGGCGAAGGCGGCUCACUGGCCCGAUACUGACGCUGAGGCACGAAAGCGUGGGGAGCAAACAGG